CCUACGGGGGGCAGCAGUGAGGAAUAUUGGUCAAUGGGAGAGAUCCUGAACCAGCCAAGCCGCGUGAGGGAAGACGGCCCUAUGGGUUGUCAACCUCUUUUGUCGGAGAACAAAACCCGGGACGAGUCCCGGACUGCGUGUAUCCGAAGAAAAAGCAUCGGCUAACUCCGUGCCAGCAGCCGCGGUAAUACGGAGGAUGAGAGCGUUAUCCGGAUUUUGUGGGUUUAAAGGGUGCGUCGGCGGUCUGUUAAGUCAGCGGUAAAAUUGCGGGGCUAAACCCCGUCGAGCCGUUGAAACUGGCAGACGUGAGUUGGCGAGAAGUACGCGGAAUGCGCGGUGUAGCGGUGAAAUGCAUAGAUAUCGCGCAGAACUCCGAUUGCGAAGGCAGCGUACCGGCGCCAGACUGACGCUGAGGCACGAAAGCGUGGGGAUCGAACAGGAUUAGAUACCCUAGUAGUC
This 459-nucleotide ribosomal RNA is filed under the name uncultured bacterium. RNAcentral's name for it is "partial 16S ribosomal RNA". It matches the Rfam family "Bacterial small subunit ribosomal RNA", at positions 338 to 795 of the family's 1533-position model. The record is from RNAcentral.